AGUGGCGAACGGGUGAGUAACACGUGGGUGACCUACCUUCGAGUGGGGGAUAACGUCCCGAAAGGGACGCUAAUACCGCAUAACAUCCUGCUUUUGAACAGGUGGAGAUCAAAGCCGGGGACCGCAAGGCCCGGCGCUUGAUGAGGGGCCCGCGUCUGAUUAGCUAGUUGGUGGGGUAAUGGCUCACCAAGGCGACGAUCAGUAUCCGGCCUGAGAGGGCGGACGGACACACUGGGACUGAGACACGGCCCAGACUCCUACGGGAGGCAGCAGUGGGGAAUUGUUCACAAUGGGCGCAAGCCUGACGACGCAACGCCGCGUGGAGGAUGAAGGUCUUCGGAUUGUAAACUCCUGUUGCCCGGGACGAAUGGCCUCGACCUAAUACGUUGAGGUGUGACGGUACCGGGUGAGGAAGCCCCGGCUAACUCUGUGCCAGCAGCCGCGGUAAUACAGAGGGGGCAAGCGUUGUUCGGAAUUACUGGGCGUAAAGGGCGCGUAGGCGGCCUGCUAAGUCGAUCGUGAAAUCCCCGGGCUCAACCCGGGAACUGCGACCGAUACUGGUUGGCUUGAAUCCGGGAGAGGGAUGCGGAAUUCCAGGUGUAGCGGUGAAAUGCGUAGAUAUCUGGAGGAACACCGGUGGCGAAGGCGGCAUCCUGGACCGGCAUUGACGCUGAGGCGCGAAAGCCAGGGGAGCAAACGGGAUUAGAUACCCCGGUAGUCCUGACCCU
This 728-nucleotide ribosomal RNA is filed under the name uncultured Acidobacteriota bacterium. Its description in RNAcentral is "bacterial SSU rRNA". It matches the Rfam family "Bacterial small subunit ribosomal RNA", at positions 94 to 803 of the family's 1533-position model. Lineage: Bacteria; Pseudomonadati; Acidobacteriota. The record is from RNAcentral.